Molecule: non-coding RNA, 1425 nt
Organism: Vigna umbellata (rice bean)
Lineage: Eukaryota; Viridiplantae; Streptophyta; Magnoliopsida; Fabales; Fabaceae
Source: RefSeq, a predicted model, not a curated record
CCUAACCUCUCUCAACCUUUCACGGCAACGCCACCGAUUCCAAUCCCCACUUAUCGAAGAAAAAAUGAGUAGACGCUCGAGCAGAACUGUCUACGUUGGGAACCUUCCUGGUGACAUCCGUGAAAGAGAAGUUGAAGAUUUAUUUCUGAAGUAUGGACACAUAACUCACAUAGAUCUAAAGGUUCCCCCAAGACCCCCCGGUUACGCAUUUGUAGAGUUUGAAGAUGCUCAAGACGCUGAGGAUGCAAUACGUGGACGUGAUGGCUAUGAUUUUGAUGGGCACCGGUUACGGGUGGAGCCUGCACAUGGUGGACGUGGUCAUUCAUCCUCAAGAGAUCGACACAGCAGUCACAGCAAUGGACGGGCUGGACGUGGGGUAUCCAGACGCUCUGAAUAUCGGGUUCUAGUCACUGGAUUGCCCUCUUCAGCAUCCUGGCAGGAUCUUAAGGAUCACAUGCGCAAGGCAGGAGAUGUUUGCUUUUCCCAGGUCUUUCAUGAUGGAAGGGGUACUACUGGUAUUGUGGAUUACACAAAUUAUGAUGAUAUGAAAUAUGCUAUCAAGAAGCUUGAUGACUCUGAGUUUCGGAAUGCAUUUUCCAAGGGUUAUGUUCGAGUGAGGGAAUAUGAUUCAAGACGGGAUUCAUCUAGAAGUCCUAGCCGGGGCCCAUCUCAUUCUAGAGGAAGAAGCUAUAGCCGAAGCCGUAGUUACAGUCGGGACCGGAGCCAAAGCAAAUCUCCAAAGGGUAAAUCAUCACAGCGUUCACCACCUGCUAAAUCUCCAUCAAGAUCUCCUGCUGCCCGGUCUCGUUCAAGAUCAAAGUCUCGUUCGUUGUCAGGGUAUGAAAUGUUUUGAAAGUGCAGAUUUUUUGACGAAUACUAAUUGUCUGGCUACUUUUAUUUCCAAGUAUUAUUUUAUUCAUAAAUUAUUUGGUAUCUCGAUGGAAGAGAUGAAAAGACCAGAAGAGGCAUUUUAAUGACUGCACACUGCUAACUUAGGGAUUUUUUUUUUGGAAUUUUUGAUAAUGAUUAGAAUAGGAAUAAAUAGAGAUCAUUUGGAAUUUAUUAAAUUAAAUUCACGUGCACGAUAUGGCAAAUUUCUUGCAUGAAUAAAAUUAAUUUCAUUUUGAUUUGUCCUUGUGAAGUCAGUUGUUUCAGUCUGUUGUUUGUUUUCUUCGGAAUAAAAAACUGGGACUUGUUUCUUUUAACACCUUUCAUUAAAAUUGAAAGUCAUAGAGAAUCUUCUUGUAAAUAAAUUAUUUAUUAUUUCUUCUCUAAGAAAUUCAGAUUUAAAAUUUUAAUUUUUCUGACACAAAACUGUUGUCCCCUUCACAUUCCCUCCCUCAGUCAAUUUUCCCCUAUCUUGCUUUGUCCGGAACUUGGUGAAACUUGCCUCAAUGUCAGAGUGUUCUCAGUUUCCUUUUUGCU